This is a long non-coding RNA of Octodon degus (degu), 444 nucleotides long. RefSeq lists it as uncharacterized. The transcript has 3 exons. The record is from RefSeq and is a predicted model, not a curated record. Lineage: Eukaryota; Metazoa; Chordata; Mammalia; Rodentia; Octodontidae.
UUGGGAGGGUGGAGAUGUGCUGGGCUGGAGGGUGGGAGUGGUGACCGUGUGGCUUCUUCUUUCUGCUCAGGACCCCUUUGUGAUGGGGAGACCACAGCUCUGUGAUGCAGGGCUGGGCCCCACCCCUGCUCACUGUAGCCUGCGGACUACAGUUCAAUUCAGAUGAUGGAGAAUCUUCUCUGGCUUCUUAAAGGUAUUGGCUCCACAUGGCUGAGCACUAGCUUCACCAGCUGGGCAAUGGAUAUGACCCUUGUGCUUGAGUGUAUGUUGGCGCUUUUCAUCCUAUUGAUCUCUUUCCUUAAGACUAAUCCAUCUUUCCACUAACUGGGAAAAAGGAAAACAUCAGAAAGCACCACGUGGAGAAAAAGAUGUGGGAAACAAACAGCAAGAGAAAGAAGAGCUGUCUUCUGAAAGCUUGCAGAGAGUGCCGAAAGGAACUGGAGG